RNAcentral lists this unclassified non-coding RNA (378 nucleotides) under plant metagenome. RNAcentral's name for it is "partial contains 5.8S ribosomal RNA, internal transcribed spacer 2, and large subunit ribosomal RNA". The stretch from base 1 to 105 matches the Rfam family "5.8S ribosomal RNA", at positions 50 to 154 of the family's 154-position model. The record is from RNAcentral.
GAAAUGCGAUAAGUAAUGUGAAUUGUAGAAUUCAGAGAAUCAUCGAAUCUUUGAACGCACCUUGCGCUCCUUGGUAUUCCUUGGAGCAUGCCUGUUUGAGUAUCAUGAAAUCUUCAAAGUAAAUCUUUUGUUAACUCAAUUGGUUUCUACUUUGGUAUUGGAGGUCUUUGCAGCUUCACACCUGCUCCUCUUUGUUCAUUAGCUGGAUCUCAGUGUUAUGCUUGGUUCCACUCGGCGUGAUAAGUUAUCUAUCGCUGAGGACACUGUAAAAGGUGGCCAAGGUAAAUGCAGAUGAACCGCUUCUAAUAGUCCAUUGACUUGGACAAUACUUUUAUGAUCUGAUCUCAAAUCAGGUAGGACUACCCGCUGAACUUAAGC